UUCCAAAGCCCUGCGGGUCAGAACUGACGGGAAGACGCAGUCUGUGGAGGCUGCACAGAAGCCCACGGCCUCGUCUUCCUCUGGCAGAACCUGGAGGAGGACUGGAUCCCGCCCAAGGGAGAGAUGACGCCUGCCCUGGAGCCAUUGAGGAUGUCACUUCUCUAAUACUGCUCUGUGUGGAAAGAUGUCUGCGGAGGCUUCCUCGGGAAUCUUGCAAAAGCCCCAUGACUCUGGUAA
Molecule: long non-coding RNA, 237 nt
Organism: Echinops telfairi (small Madagascar hedgehog)
Lineage: Eukaryota; Metazoa; Chordata; Mammalia; Afrosoricida; Tenrecidae
Exons: 2
Source: RefSeq, a predicted model, not a curated record